Molecule: long non-coding RNA, 1047 nt
Organism: Bubalus bubalis (water buffalo)
Lineage: Eukaryota; Metazoa; Chordata; Mammalia; Artiodactyla; Bovidae
Exons: 7
Source: RefSeq, a predicted model, not a curated record
GAACCUGCCUGGACACUGCUCUGGUUGGGAGUGACUGGGAGUGACUGCCUGCUGUGAGUGCAAGACUUGCAGGGCCACAGAUAAGAUGCAGGCGGAAUCUUGAGAGUGUUGAGCCCCUGGAGGGGGCCUGGCCAACCAAGCCCCCGGCUUAGCAGCAUUCCAAAUUUUACACAAUAAAGCAGACAGCAUUAACAUAAAAUCAGAGCUGCAAUUUGUUCAAGGAUUGAUGAUGAUAACAGCUUGCCACCUUUCUGGGAUUAUAAAUGGAACCCCAAACUGCAAUGUUUGAAGUCUCACCUAUGGAGCAGACACACUGCCUGGGACCCUUUCCUGGUUGGGACUCGAGCUGUUUAAGUCUGGAUGUUGGUCAAAACCCAAUUAGGCUUUAAAAAACAAAUCCUUUCUUUCAAGGACUGAUGAGGAGCUAAUAGUCCCCAUUUUGGCUUUGGGAGAGAUGGAAAGAAAGCCCAAGAAACUGGGAAAGGAAGCAGUAGAAAGUGAAGCCACGUUUGGACAAUCCGACCCCAUGAAAACCCAAGGAAUAUUUAUUAGGCUCCACCUGAAUGUUAUUCUCAGCUGGGUGAUCAGAAGAGGCAAGAAACAACUUUGAAAAAUUUUAAUCUCCGCUCAUGAGUAGCCUGCUGGAAGGGGAAAAGAGGAUGGAAAACCAGCUUUGGAGAAUUUGAUGGACCAAGACUGGAAGAAGUAUUACAUCACUUCUUCAUCCCCUUGGCUAGAGCUCAGACGGAGGACUAACAAGACGGUUGUGAAAGGCACUGUUCUUGGUUCUGGGUCAGUGAAGAUCACACACAGAAUAUGCUCUGUUGGGGCUUCUGUUCUUCUGAGGUAGGAGACAAGGUUCCAGGGACACAGACAUUUGGGUUGUUUCUAUAUAUUGAUUACUGUGAAUUUUGAACAAUGCUGCAACAAAUAUGGGAAUACAGAUAAAAACAUGCAAAGUAACAUUUGCGAUAACACUAUGAGAGUACAUCAUGAGAAACACUGGGCUGGAAGAAGCACAAGCUGGAAUCAAGAUUGCUGGGAGAA